RNAcentral lists this ribosomal RNA (495 nucleotides) under uncultured bacterium. RNAcentral describes it as "partial 16S ribosomal RNA". It matches the Rfam family "Bacterial small subunit ribosomal RNA", at positions 28 to 507 of the family's 1533-position model. The record is from RNAcentral.
GACGAACGCUGGCGGCGUGCCUAAUACAUGCAAGUAGAACGCUGAAGGAGGAGCUUGCUUCUCUGGAUGAGUUGCGAACGGGUGAGUAACGCGUAGGUAACCUGCCUUGUAGCGGGGGAUAACUAUUGGAAACGAUAGCUAAUACCGCAUAAUAGUAGAUGUCGCAUGACAUUUGCUUAAAAGGUGCAAUUGCAUCACUACCAGAUGGACCUGCGUUGUAUUAGCUAGUUGGUGAGGUAACGGCUCACCAAGGCAACGAUACAUAGCCGACCUGAGAGGGUGAUCGGCCACACUGGGAAUGGGACACGGCCCAGACUCCUACGGGGAGGAGCAGUAGGGAAUCUUCGGCAAUGGGCGGAAGUCUGACCGAGCAACGCCGCGGGAGUGAAGAAGGUUUUCGGAUCGUAAAGCUCUGUUGUAAGGGAAGAACGAGUGUGAGGGUGGAAAGUUCACACUGUGACGGUAUCUUACCAGAAAGGGACGGCUAACUACGUG